Molecule: ribosomal RNA, 2235 nt
Filed under: Salmonella enterica subsp. enterica serovar Grumpensis
Lineage: Bacteria; Pseudomonadati; Pseudomonadota; Gammaproteobacteria; Enterobacterales; Enterobacteriaceae
Description: bacterial LSU rRNA
Rfam family: Bacterial large subunit ribosomal RNA
Source: RNAcentral
UGACUGCGUACCUUUUGUAUAAUGGGUCAGCGACUUAUAUUCUGUAGCAAGGUUAACCGAAUAGGGGAGCCGGAGGGAAACCGAGUCUUAACCGGGCGUUAAGUUGCAGGGUAUAGACCCGAAACCCGGUGAUCUAGCCAUGGGCAGGUUGAAGGUUGGGUAACACUAACUGGAGGACCGAACCGACUAAUGUUGAAAAAUUAGCGGAUGACCUGUGGCUGGGGGUGAAAGGCCAAUCAAACCGGGAGAUAGCUGGUUCUCCCCGAAAGCUAUUUAGGUAGCGCCUCGUGAAUUCAUCUCCGGGGGUAGAGCACUGUUUCGGCUAGGGGGCCAUCCCGGCUUACCAACCCGAUGCAAACUGCGAAUACCGGAGAAUGUUAUCACGGGAGACACACGGCGGGUGCUAACGUCCGUCGUGAAGAGGGAAACAACCCAGACCGCCAGCUAAGGUCCCAAAGUCAUGGUUAAGUGGGAAACGAUGUGGGAAGGCCCAGACAGCCAGGAUGUUGGCUUAGAAGCAGCCAUCAUUUAAAGAAAGCGUAAUAGCUCACUGGUCGAGUCGGCCUGCGCGGAAGAUGUAACGGGGCUAAACCAUGCACCGAAGCUGCGGCAGCGACACUCAGGUGUUGUUGGGUAGGGGAGCGUUCUGUAAGCCUGUGAAGGUGGCCUGUGAGGGUUGCUGGAGGUAUCAGAAGUGCGAAUGCUGACAUAAGUAACGAUAAAGCGGGUGAAAAGCCCGCUCGCCGGAAGACCAAGGGUUCCUGUCCAACGUUAAUCGGGGCAGGGUGAGUCGACCCCUAAGGCGAGGCCGAAAGGCGUAGUCGAUGGGAAACGGGUUAAUAUUCCCGUACUUGGUGUUACUGCGAAGGGGGGACGGAGAAGGCUAUGUUGGCCGGGCGACGGUUGUCCCGGUUUAAGCGUGUAGGUGUGUGUUCCAGGUAAAUCCGGUUCACUUUAACACUGAGGCGUGAUGACGAGGCACUACGGUGCUGAAGCAACAAAUGCCCUGCUUCCAGGAAAAGCCUCUAAGCAUCAGGUAACAUCAAAUCGUACCCCAAACCGACACAGGUGGUCAGGUAGAGAAUACCAAGGCGCUUGAGAGAACUCGGGUGAAGGAACUAGGCAAAAUGGUGCCGUAACUUCGGGAGAAGGCACGCUGACAUGUAGGUGAAGUGAUUUACUCACGGAGCUGAAGUCAGUCGAAGAUACCAGCUGGCUGCAACUGUUUAUUAAAAACACAGCACUGUGCAAACACGAAAGUGGACGUAUACGGUGUGACGCCUGCCCGGUGCCGGAAGGUUAAUUGAUGGGGUCAGCGCAAGCGAAGCUCCUGAUCGAAGCCCCGGUAAACGGCGGCCGUAACUAUAACGGUCCUAAGGUAGCGAAAUUCCUUGUCGGGUAAGUUCCGACCUGCACGAAUGGCGUAAUGAUGGCCAGGCUGUCUCCACCCGAGACUCAGUGAAAUUGAACUCGCUGUGAAGAUGCAGUGUACCCGCGGCAAGACGGAAAGACCCCGUGAACCUUUACUAUAGCUUGACACUGAACAUUGAGCCUUGAUGUGUAGGAUAGGUGGGAGGCUUUGAAGUGUGGACGCCAGUCUGCAUGGAGCCGGCCUUGAAAUACCACCCUUUAAUGUUUGAUGUUCUAACGUGGACCCGUGAUCCGGGUUGCGGACAGUGUCUGGUGGGUAGUUUGACUGGGGCGGUCUCCUCCUAAAGAGUAACGGAGGAGCACGAAGGUUGGCUAAUCCUGGUCGGACAUCAGGAGGUUAGUGCAAUGGCAUAAGCCAGCUUGACUGCGAGCGUGACGGCGCGAGCAGGUGCGAAAGCAGGUCAUAGUGAUCCGGUGGUUCUGAAUGGAAGGGCCAUCGCUCAACGGAUAAAAGGUACUCCGGGGAUAACAGGCUGAUACCGCCCAAGAGUUCAUAUCGACGGCGGUGUUUGGCACCUCGAUGUCGGCUCAUCACAUCCUGGGGCUGAAGUAGGUCCCAAGGGUAUGGCUGUUCGCCAUUUAAAGUGGUACGCGAGCUGGGUUUAGAACGUCGUGAGACAGUUCGGUCCCUAUCUGCCGUGGGCGCUGGAGAACUGAGGGGGGCUGCUCCUAGUACGAGAGGACCGGAGUGGACGCAUCACUGGUGUUCGGGUUGUCAUGCCAAUGGCACUGCCCGGUAGCUAAAUGCGGAAGAGAUAAGUGCUGAAAGCAUCUAAGCACGAAACUUGCCCCGAGAUGAGUUCU